This 180-nucleotide ribosomal RNA is filed under the name uncultured bacterium. Its description in RNAcentral is "partial 16S ribosomal RNA". It matches the Rfam family "Bacterial small subunit ribosomal RNA", at positions 1313 to 1500 of the family's 1533-position model. The record is from RNAcentral.
CGACUCCAUGAAGCUGGAUUCGCUAGUAAUCGCGCAUCAGCCACGGCGCGGUGAAUACGUUCCCGGGCCUUGUACACACCGCCCGUCAAGCCAUGGAAGCCGGGAGUGCCUGAAGUGCGUGAGCGCAAGCAGCGCCCUAAGGUAAAACCGGUGACUGGGGCUAAGUCGUAACAAGGUACC